Molecule: transfer RNA, 91 nt
Filed under: Cordylochernes scorpioides
Lineage: Eukaryota; Metazoa; Arthropoda; Arachnida; Pseudoscorpiones; Chernetidae
Description: tRNA-Tyr
Source: RNAcentral
UGACUAGAGCCAGAUUUGAACCAGAGACCUAAGAGUCACCGUUGUUGCGUCUACAGUCCUGCGCUCUGCCAACUGAGCUAUCAAGGGGAUC